This is a non-coding RNA of Electrophorus electricus (electric eel), 390 nucleotides long. NCBI's taxonomy places the organism in Eukaryota, Metazoa, Chordata, Actinopteri, Gymnotiformes, Gymnotidae. The record is from RefSeq and is a predicted model, not a curated record.
CAGGAAGCACUUCAUUUUGCUACUCGGCUAUAUCUCAACGGCAAACCAGCUUUGAUACGCUGCUCCGCAUGGCUGAACUCAGCCUACUGAGCAAAACCGCUGCUGAACAAACUCAUGGGGAUUGCGGAAUAUGCCUCUUUAGAUAUGACAUCAUUCAUAAACAUGAAGACGUCAUCUACAAACAGGAGUUCGGGUCACAGUAACCUGGGGGUCCAGCCGGCCCCACUGGCCCAGGAAUGCCUGGUCUGCCAGGUGUACCAGGGUUGCCAGGGCGACCAGACGGGCCAGGGCCACCAGUCCUUCCCUCACCAGAUCCUGCCUGGUAAUCCAUAAUCUCAUCUGUAAUCCAGCACCUCUGCCUCCAGGUUGGCCGCUCUCGCCAUUAGAUCC